AUGUAUAUCACUUGGCUAUAUAAUAUGUAUCAAAUAAAAAGUAUAUUAUGAAAAUGAGGAAAAAAAGAAUACCACAUUUUUUUACUUUUAGUUAUGAGGCUAACAACUCGAUCAAUAGGGUCUCUUUGACUUUUAGGUUUCUCCUUUAAGAUUGGUGUUGACCCAUGGAUUGAUUUUGAUGAUGCCAUAAUAUUUAUGUAAUAUUAAUACAAGCUUAAGGUUAUGCUUAAAGGGAAUUUUCUCAAUGCUCUAGGUUUGCAACCUUAAUCAAGAAGAAGCCCUCUUCAAAUUAACCCAAGAAGUUAACCAAGAUUUCUUAGGAUA
Molecule: long non-coding RNA, 324 nt
Filed under: Elaeis guineensis (African oil palm)
Lineage: Eukaryota; Viridiplantae; Streptophyta; Magnoliopsida; Arecales; Arecaceae
Description: long non-coding RNA (EGUI_LNC020472)
Source: RNAcentral